GCCUGGGUGGCUCAAUGGUUGAGCAUCUGGCUUUGGCUCAGGUCGUGAUCCCGGGGUCAUGGGAUCGGUUCCCACAUCAGGCU
RNAcentral lists this transfer RNA (83 nucleotides) under Canis lupus familiaris (dog). It matches the Rfam family "tRNA". Rfam says of the family: Transfer RNA (tRNA) molecules are approximately 80 nucleotides in length. Their secondary structure includes four short double-helical elements and three loops (D, anti-codon, and T loops). Further hydrogen bonds mediate the characteristic L-shaped molecular structure. tRNAs have two regions of fundamental functional importance: the anti-codon, which is responsible for specific mRNA codon recognition, and the 3' end, to which the tRNAs corresponding amino acid is attached (by aminoacyl-tRNA synthetases). tRNAs cope with the degeneracy of the genetic code in two manners: having more than one tRNA (with a specific anti-codon) for a particular amino acid; and 'wobble' base-pairing, i.e. permitting non-standard base-pairing at the 3rd anti-codon position. RNAcentral also lists the same sequence under 1 other name. Lineage: Eukaryota; Metazoa; Chordata; Mammalia; Carnivora; Canidae. The record is from Rfam by way of RNAcentral.